RNAcentral lists this ribosomal RNA (774 nucleotides) under uncultured Paracoccaceae bacterium. RNAcentral describes it as "bacterial SSU rRNA". It matches the Rfam family "Bacterial small subunit ribosomal RNA", at positions 20 to 841 of the family's 1533-position model. Lineage: Bacteria; Pseudomonadati; Pseudomonadota; Alphaproteobacteria; Rhodobacterales; Paracoccaceae. The record is from RNAcentral.
UGGCUCAGAACGAACGCUGGCGGCAGGCCUAAUACAUGCAAGUCGAGCGCGCCCUUCGGGGUGAGCGGCGGACGGGUGAGUAACGCGUGGGAAUAUGCCCUUCUCUAAGGAAUAGCCUCUGGAAACGGAGAGUAAUACCUUAUACGCCCUUUGGGGGAAAGAUUUAUCGGAGAAGGAUUAGCCCGCGUUAGAUUAGGUAGUUGGUGGGGUAAUGGCCUACCAAGCCUACGAUCUAUAGCUGGUUUGAGAGGAUGAUCAGCCACACUGGGACUGAGACACGGCCCAGACUCCUACGGGAGGCAGCAGUAGGGAAUCUUAGACAAUGGGGGCAACCCUGAUCUAGCCAUGCCGCGUGUGUGAUGAAGGCCCUAGGGUCGUAAAGCACUUUCGCCAGAGAUGAUAAUGACAGUAUCUGGUAAAGAAACCCCGGCUAACUCCGUGCCAGCAGCCGCGGUAAUACGGAGGGGGUUAGCGUUGUUCGGAAUUACUGGGCGUAAAGCGCACGUAGGCGGAUUAGUAAGUUAGAGGUGAAAUCCCAGGGCUCAACCCUGGAACUGCCUUUAAUACUGCUAGUCUUGAGUUCGAGAGAGGUAAGUGGAAUUCCGAGUGUAGAGGUGAAAUUCGUAGAUAUUCGGAGGAACACCAGUGGCGAAGGCGGCUUACUGGCUCGAUACUGACGCUGAGGUGCGAAAGUGUGGGGAGCAAACAGGAUUAGAUACCCUGGUAGUCCACACCGUAAACGAUGAAUGCCAGACGUCAGCAAGUAUACUUGUU